CCUAGUACGGCGAGUGAAGCGGGAAGAGCUCAAAUUUGAAAUCUGGUAGCCUUCGGUUGCCCGAGUUGUAAUCUAGAGAAGUGUUUUCCGCGUUGGCCCAUGUACAAGUCCCUUGGAACAGGGCGUCAUAGAGGGUGAGAAUCCCGUCCUUGACAUGGACCCCCAAUGCUUUGUGAUACACUUUCAACGAGUCGAGUUGUUUGGGAAUGCAGCUCAAAAUGGGUGGUGAAUUCCAUCUAAAGCUAAAUAUUGGCGAGAGACCGAUAGCGAACAAGUACCGUGAGGGAAAGAUGAAAAGCACUUUGGAAAGAGAGUUAAACAGUACGUGAAAUUGUUGAAAGGGAAACGAUUGAAGUCAGUCAUGCUCUUUGGAUUAAGCCGUUCUGCGGUGUAUUUCAUUGAGCGGGGUCAACAUCAGUUUUGAUCGCUGGAAAAGGGCAGGAGGAAGGUAGCACUCUCGGGUGAACUUAUAGCCUCUUGUCGUAUACAGUGAUUGGGACUGAGGAACGCAGCAUGCCUUUUGGCCGGGAUUCGUCCACGUACAUGCUUAGGAUGUUGACAUAAUGGCUUUAAACGACCCGUCUUGCACCCACGGACCA
RNAcentral lists this ribosomal RNA (599 nucleotides) under Naganishia globosa. RNAcentral's name for it is "eukaryotic LSU rRNA". It matches the Rfam family "Eukaryotic large subunit ribosomal RNA", at positions 79 to 668 of the family's 3401-position model. Lineage: Eukaryota; Fungi; Basidiomycota; Tremellomycetes; Filobasidiales; Filobasidiaceae. The record is from RNAcentral.